AUUGAACGCUGGCGGCAUGCCUUACACAUGCAAGUCGAACGGCAGCACGGGGCAACCUGGUGGCGAGUGGCGAACGGGUGAGUAAUGCAUCGGAACGUGCCAUUGAGUGGGGGAUAACGUAGCGAAAGUUGCGCUAAUACCGCAUAUUCUGUGAGCAGGAAAGCAGGGGACCGCAAGGCCUUGCGCUCUUUGAGCGGCCGAUGUCAGAUUAGCUAGUUGGUGAGGUAAAGGCUUACCAAGGCGACGAUCUGUAGCGGGUCUGAGAGGAUGAUCCGCCACACUGGAACUGAGACACGGUCCAGACUCCUACGGGAGGCAGCAGUGGGGAAUUUUGGACAAUGGGCGCAAGCCUGAUCCAGCCAUGCCGCGUGAGUGAAGAAGGGCCUUC
This 388-nucleotide ribosomal RNA is filed under the name uncultured bacterium. Its description in RNAcentral is "bacterial SSU rRNA". It matches the Rfam family "Bacterial small subunit ribosomal RNA", at positions 30 to 420 of the family's 1533-position model. The record is from RNAcentral.